RNAcentral lists this ribosomal RNA (1094 nucleotides) under uncultured Bacillus sp. Its description in RNAcentral is "bacterial SSU rRNA". It matches the Rfam family "Bacterial small subunit ribosomal RNA", at positions 48 to 1142 of the family's 1533-position model. Lineage: Bacteria; Bacillati; Bacillota; Bacilli; Caryophanales; Bacillaceae. The record is from RNAcentral.
CUAAUACAUGCAAGUCGAGCGGAUCAGAUAGGAGCUUGCUCCUUGACGAUUAGCGGCGGACGGGUGAGUAACACGUGGGCAACCUACCUGUAAGACUGGGAUAACUCGCGGAAACGCGAGCUAAUACCGGAUAAUUUCUUUCUUCACAUGAAGAGAGGUUGAAAGACGGCUUUGCUGUCACUUACAGAUGGGCCCGCGGCGCAUUAGUUAGUUGGUGAGGUAACGGCUCACCAAGGCCACGAUGCGUAGCCGACCUGAGAGGGUGAUCGGCCACACUGGGACUGAGACACGGCCCAGACUCCUACGGGAGGCAGCAGUAGGGAAUCUUCCGCAAUGGACGAAAGUCUGACGGAGCAACGCCGCGUGAGUGAAGAAGGUUUUCGGAUCGUAAAACUCUGUUAUCAGGGAAGAACAAGUAUCGGAGUCACUGCCGGUACCUUGACGGUACCUGGCCAGAAAGCCACGGCUAACUACGUGCCAGCAGCCGCGGUAAUACGUAGGUGGCAAGCGUUGUCCGGAAUUAUUGGGCGUAAAGCGCGCGCAGGCGGUUUUCUAAGUCUGAUGUGAAAUCUUGCGGCUCAACCGUGAGCGGUCAUUGGAAACUGGAGAACUUGAGUGCAGAAGAGAAGAGCGGAAUUCCACGUGUAGCGGUGAAAUGCGUAGAGAUGUGGAGGAACACCAGUGGCGAAGGCGGCUCUUUGGUCUGUAACUGACGCUGAGGCGCGAAAGCGUGGGGAGCGAACAGGAUUAGAUACCCUGGUAGUCCACGCCGUAAACGAUGAGUGCUAAGUGUUAGAGGGUUUCCGCCCUUUAGUGCUGCAGCAAACGCAUUAAGCACUCCGCCUGGGGAGUACGGCCGCAAGGCUGAAACUCAAAGGAAUUGACGGGGGCCCGCACAAGCGGUGGAGCAUGUGGUUUAAUUCGAAGCAACGCGAAGAACCUUACCGGUCUGACAUCCUUAUGCUGCCCUAGAGAUAGGAGUCCCUCCGGGACAUAAUGACAGUGUGCAUGUGUCGUCAGCUCGUUCGUGAAAUGUGGGUUAGUCCCGCACGAGCCAACCUUAUUGUCAGUUGCCAGCAUUAUUGGGCACCUCG